AUUGAACGCUGGCGGCAGGCCUAACACAUGCAAGUCGAGCGGCAGCGGGAAAGUAGCUUGCUACUUUUGCCGGCGAGCGGCGGACGGGUGAGUAAUGCCUGGGAAAUUGCCCAGUCGAGGGGGAUAACAGUUGGAAACGACUGCUAAUACCGCAUACGCCCUACGGGGGAAAGCAGGGGACCUUCGGGCCUUGCGCGAUUGGAUAUGCCCAGGUGGGAUUAGCUUGUUGGUGAGGUAAUGGCUCACCAAGGCGACGAUCCCUAGCUGGUCUGAGAGGAUGAUCAGCCACACUGGAACUGAGACACGGUCCAGACUCCUACGGGAGGCAGCAGUGGGGAAUAUUGCACAAUGGGGGAAACCCUGAUGCAGCCAUGCCGCGUGUGUGAAGAAGGCCUUCGGGUUGUAAAGCAC
This 411-nucleotide ribosomal RNA is filed under the name uncultured bacterium. RNAcentral describes it as "bacterial SSU rRNA". It matches the Rfam family "Bacterial small subunit ribosomal RNA", at positions 30 to 433 of the family's 1533-position model. The record is from RNAcentral.